ACUUUCAAAGGACAGCAGUACUCCAAUAAUCUUAGGCAUUAUCACUUCUUGGUGCAACUCCAAGUGAAAGAA
Molecule: transfer RNA, 72 nt
Filed under: Heteronotia binoei (common prickly gecko)
Lineage: Eukaryota; Metazoa; Chordata; Lepidosauria; Squamata; Gekkonidae
Description: tRNA-Leu
Source: RNAcentral